Molecule: long non-coding RNA, 308 nt
Filed under: Elaeis guineensis (African oil palm)
Lineage: Eukaryota; Viridiplantae; Streptophyta; Magnoliopsida; Arecales; Arecaceae
Description: long non-coding RNA (EGUI_LNC066125)
Source: RNAcentral
UCUCGAUAGUGGGGCACUUCAGCUUUUGCACUGGGAUCCACAUCACUUGAUGCAUCUGAUCAGACUUUGAUCCCUCACAUCUCCACUGUCUUCCAGAUGAUCUCAGAUCAGUCAGCUUGCAUUCAGCAGCUUGAGGGUUACAUAUUGAGACUGACUGGGAGGGUACUUGACUUGCAGGGGCAAGUGUUAGCUCUGGCACAUCCACAGCCACAGGAGUGCACCACUGAGGUCUCAGACCUAUCUAUGGAGGCAGCCAGACUUAGAGGAGUAUUGGAGAGUGGAUUUGAUUUCCUGAGGAGAGAGAUCAG